GACGAACGCUGGCGGCGUGCUUAACACAUGCAAGUCAAACGGUGAAGCCUUCGGGUGGAUCAGUGGCGAACGGGUGAGUAACACGUGAGCAAUCUGCCCUUGACUCUGGGAUAACUUCGGGAAACCGGAGCUAAUACCGGAUAUGACAUCUGGCCGCAUGUCUGGUGUGGAAGAUUAUCGGUCAGAUGAGCUCGCGGCCUAUCAGCUUGUUGGGGGGUAAGU
Molecule: ribosomal RNA, 222 nt
Filed under: uncultured bacterium
Lineage: Bacteria
Description: partial 16S ribosomal RNA
Rfam family: Bacterial small subunit ribosomal RNA
Source: RNAcentral